Molecule: unclassified non-coding RNA, 269 nt
Filed under: plant metagenome
Description: partial contains small subunit ribosomal RNA, internal transcribed spacer 1, and 5.8S ribosomal RNA
Source: RNAcentral
UUUCCGUAGGUGAACCUGCGGAAGGAUCAUUAAUGAGUUGUCAUGGGGUUCGAUGCUGGCAGCCAAUUUUUGGAUGCAUGUGCUUGCCCUAACAAUCAUCUUCCAAACACCUGUGCACAGUUUUGAGGGAGUCUUGAGUUGGUUGCCGCUCUUGGGUGAUUUUCUCACAUUCCCUUAAAUCAUUAUACGCUAUUAACUAUGUUGAACGUGCUCUGUGCCGCAAGGCUAUUAAUAUAAUACAACUUUUAACAACGGAUCUCUUGGCUCUC